Molecule: ribosomal RNA, 253 nt
Filed under: uncultured bacterium
Lineage: Bacteria
Description: partial 16S ribosomal RNA
Rfam family: Bacterial small subunit ribosomal RNA
Source: RNAcentral
UACGGAGGGUGCAAGCGUUGUCCGGAUUUAUUGGGUUUAAAGGGUGCGUAGGCGGCCCGUUAAGUCAGUGGUGAAAGCCCGGAGCUCAACUCCGGAACUGCCAUUGAAACUGUAAAACUUGAGGACGAGAGAGGUGAGUGGAAUUCCCAGUGUAGAGGUGAAAUUCGUAGAUAUUGGGAAGAACACCGGUGGCGAAGGCGGCUCACUGGCUCGUAUCUGACGCUCAGGCGCGACAGCGUGGGGAUCAAACAGG